This is an RNA transcript of Salvia splendens (bonfire salvia), 2610 nucleotides long. RefSeq lists it as uncharacterized. NCBI's taxonomy places the organism in Eukaryota, Viridiplantae, Streptophyta, Magnoliopsida, Lamiales, Lamiaceae. The record is from RefSeq and is a predicted model, not a curated record. The transcript is spliced from 6 exons.
CAUACGGUUUUAUCCAUAUCUCCCUCUCCCCUUAAGAAUCUCCAACAAAAUACCCUCUAUUGACUCCACAUAUAUAUCUCUUCCCUAUAAUCUCCGCAAAUUACCAUCUUCCGUUCUGCAAUUUUUCUUCUCCUCCGUUAAGUGGGAAGGAGAAACUGAGAGUGUUGUGAUUACCGUGUUUGUGUGCGAAUUUUGCUUCUUUCCAAAGGUAUACCCUCUAUUUUUUUUCUGAAUCCUCUGCAUCUCACUCCAUGAGUUAGUUUCACAUAGUCACACACGGAAAUAAACCAUUUUGGAAUUUUUGGAACUGUUGAAUGAUGCUCCCUCCUAAAGCUUCGAUCUUUAAUGUUUAGAAUGUGUCUUUUAUGUUUCUCUUCAAUUCCAAUUCCUAAAUUUCUCUGCCUGCCCAUGAAUAUUGGAAACGAACAACUAGAAUUUUAAUAAAAGAUUUAGAUUCUAGAACAAGGGAGACGGGAGUCUUUUUCUGCUAUUUCUGUUUUGUGUGAGAAGGAAUUUGUUUUGGGAAUUUUGUGUUAACUUGGAGAUAGAAACAAGAGUUUGAGGAAGAGUUUGGUGUUGGAUGUUCUUGCUGUCAAUUUGAGAAUCAGAGAGGGGGGAGAGAGUUGUUGUUCAUUUUGGAGGAGAAAGAUGUAUAGUGGUUGGAGUGAUUUAAUAAGCUUUGUUUUGUUCUUUGGUGAUAGAGAGCUAGGCGUAGUUGCUAGGAGUAUACCUUUUAAAUUUUCUCCUCUUUUCUGUUUCUUGCAAAUGUGUUGAGCUGGAAAUAUAUUUUUUGUUUCUUGUAAAUGAGUGAGUAUGGAAUAUGAGUAAUAGUUUCUUUGUUUAUUUUUUAACUUUUUGUGCUUGACUAAAAGUGACGUAGGGAGUAUUCAUGUUCAAUUCUUCUUAAAUUGUUGCAUUUUUCAUUCUGUGAUGGAAGGGCAGUAUAUACGUGUAGUGUUGAGGGAGUAUAUAUAAUUAUUUUAAAAUUCUUUUGCUUAGUUUUGCUUUGGUGUUUUCAAAAUCAGUGAGGAGUUGAUAAUAUAUAAAUAUAUAUAUAGAGUCUCAUUAUUCACAAAUCCAGUCUUAAAGACCGAACUAGAGACUAAAUUAGGGCCCUUAGAUCUAGAUUUUAAUGGAUAAGAUUAAACCAUGUCUCAUGAAUUUCGCUACUUCAUUAUAUAAGCAAUAUACUUCAAAUUAGGGGUAUUUCGGUCAAAUUACAUCUAGGGUAAAAAAAUCACCCCUGCUUCUCCUCAUUCACGCCGCUCCUCUUCUUUCUCAUCUCUCCCGCUCUUUUCUUCUUCAAAUCGAAGAAUACUUCUCCACAUCGAAGAAUUCUUCUACUAAUCGACGAAUUUUCUACAACAAAGCGACAAAUCUUCUUCUACAAAGCGACGCUCAUUUUCUACUCCAAAUCGACUCUCAUUUCUACUGCAAAUUGACGCCCAAACGCUGCUUCUCUGCCAAAAUCGACGACUCCACAACUUCCUCUUCAAAAUGGUUGAUACUCAAAAAUCUUCGAUGGAAAAUUCAGCCCGCCAGUUGCGUUCCGGCCGAACUUCUGGUGAAGCACAACAAUAUACUCGCAAGCAUCCGGCUAAAUCAAAAACGGUCAAACAAGCAACUUACAAGCUCGAUGCAGAUCCUGGAAAAAAAAUUCCAGAUCCAGAAGGUAAAACUUCCUCUGCACCCAAGAAGAAUGCAAGUUGUGCUCCUCUAGUCCCUACUGAAAUCCCUGCUACCAAAAGUACAACUUCCUCUGCACCCAAGAAGAAUGCAAGUAGUGCUCCUGAAAUUGAUGUCUUCGUCAUGUUGCCUGUUACUUCAUUUUUCAGAUUGUUCAUAGUACUUCAUUCGUACACUUUAUUACUUCAUUCAUGUUGCAUGUUACUUCAUUCGUACACUAUAUUACUUCAAUCAUGUUGCCUGUUACUUCAUUUUUAAGAUUGUUCAUAGUACUUCAUUAGUAUACUUUAUUACUUCAUUCAUGUUGCUUGUUACUUCAUUCAAUAGGUCUUGUUCCCCAUAUGUGCAAAUCAACAUUAUUAUAUUAUUUGUUUUUGCUUCAAGAGAAAUGCUAUUGCUGUAAUAGACAAUUCUGCAAACGGGAUGACAAUGACCUCACAAUAAAUUAUGGUCACAUUCGAGAAACAUUGAGAUCAUACUUUUGUCACUUCCUCACCAAGAAUGGUCUCCAUGCAUAUUGUAAGAUCGUGUCCAACUCCAAAAUGCAGAGAUUGAAAAUGCCAUGGAGGAUAACGUUGAAGAUUGUGGAGUAUUUCUAAUGCGGCAUAUGGAAACGUACAAGGGUGGGCGAGAAGGUUGCAGGAAUUGUGGCUUGAAGAAAUCAAGUUCGGGUGUGCUUCAGAGCUUUAGGGCUAAAUAUUGUUCGGCGCCGAUGUUAGCCGAAAACAGCCACGAAAGCUUCAACAACAAACUUGUUACAGCAGCGUAUUACGAAGAGGAAAGCAAACACAUUGAAAUUGAUGUUGAGAAAAUGAUUGCAGCAUAUUUAAAGAAGAAAUGAUCAUUUUAGUAGAUCAAAUUUUGUAUUCGACAUACAUCUGUUAUGAGCAUUGAAUAAAGUACCACGCUUUCUAAUGUUGAUCA